RNAcentral lists this ribosomal RNA (483 nucleotides) under uncultured bacterium. RNAcentral's name for it is "partial 16S ribosomal RNA". It matches the Rfam family "Bacterial small subunit ribosomal RNA", at positions 30 to 507 of the family's 1533-position model. The record is from RNAcentral.
AUUGAACGCUGGCGGCAGGCCUAACACAUGCAAGUCGAGCGGAUGAAGGGAGCUUGCUCCUGGAUUCAGCGGCGGACGGGUGAGUAAUGCCUAGGAAUCUGCCUGGUAGUGGGGGAUAACGUCCGUAAACGGGCGCUAAUACCGCAUACGUCCUGAGGGAGCAAGUGGGGGUUCUUCGGACCUCACGCUAUCAGAUGAGCCUAGGUCGGAUUGGCUAGUUGGUGGGGUAAGGCCUACCAAGGCGACGAUCCGUAACUGGUAUGAGAGGAUGAUCAGUCACACUGGAACUGAGACACGGUCCAGACUCCUACGGGAGGCAGCAGUGGGGAAUAUUGGACAAUGGGCGAAAGCCUGAUCCAGCCAGGCCGCGUGUGUGAAGAAGGUCUUCGGAUUGUAAAGCACUUUAAGUUGGGAGGAAGGGCAGUAAGUUAAUACCUUGCUGUUUUGACGUUACCAACAGAAUAAGCACCGGCUAACUUCGUG